GUGAGGAAUAUUGGGCAAUGGGGGAAACCCUGACCCAGCGACGCCGCGUGAGGGAAGAAGGUCUUCGGAUUGUAAACCUCUGUCUUCGGGGACGAUAAUGACGGUACCCGGGGAGGAAGCCACGGCUAACUACGUGCCAGCAGCCGCGGUAAAACGUAGGUGGCAAGCGUUGUCCGGAAUUACUGGGUGUAAAGGGAGCGCAGGUGGGGCUGUAAGUCGAAUGUGAAAUCUAUGGGCUCAACUCAUAAAUUGCGUUCGAUACUAUAGUUCUUGAGUGGAGUAGAGGCAGGCGGAAUUCCCGGUGUAGCGGUGGAAUGCGUAGAUAUCGGGAGGAACACCAGUGGCGAAGGCGGCCUGCUGGGCUUUAACUGACACUGAGGUGCGAAAGCAUGGGGAGCAAACAGGAUUAGAUACCCGGGUAGUCC
This 425-nucleotide ribosomal RNA is filed under the name uncultured bacterium. Its description in RNAcentral is "partial 16S ribosomal RNA". It matches the Rfam family "Bacterial small subunit ribosomal RNA", at positions 354 to 796 of the family's 1533-position model. The record is from RNAcentral.